GCGCCCGUAGCUCAGCCGGAUAGAGCAACGGCCUUCUAAGCCGUGGGUCGCAGGUUCGAAUCCUGCCGGGCGCGCCA
This 77-nucleotide transfer RNA is filed under the name Pseudomonadota bacterium. RNAcentral's name for it is "tRNA-Arg". It matches the Rfam family "tRNA". From Rfam's summary of the family: Transfer RNA (tRNA) molecules are approximately 80 nucleotides in length. Their secondary structure includes four short double-helical elements and three loops (D, anti-codon, and T loops). Further hydrogen bonds mediate the characteristic L-shaped molecular structure. tRNAs have two regions of fundamental functional importance: the anti-codon, which is responsible for specific mRNA codon recognition, and the 3' end, to which the tRNAs corresponding amino acid is attached (by aminoacyl-tRNA synthetases). tRNAs cope with the degeneracy of the genetic code in two manners: having more than one tRNA (with a specific anti-codon) for a particular amino acid; and 'wobble' base-pairing, i.e. permitting non-standard base-pairing at the 3rd anti-codon position. The record is from RNAcentral. Lineage: Bacteria; Pseudomonadati; Pseudomonadota. RNAcentral also lists the same sequence under 4 other names.